This 399-nucleotide ribosomal RNA is filed under the name uncultured soil bacterium. RNAcentral describes it as "bacterial SSU rRNA". It matches the Rfam family "Bacterial small subunit ribosomal RNA", at positions 26 to 449 of the family's 1533-position model. The record is from RNAcentral.
AGAACGAACGCUGGCGGCAUGCCUAAUACAUGCAAGUCGAACGAACACUUCGGUGUUAGUGGCGCACGGGUGCGUAACGCGUGGGAAUCUGCCCUUGGGUUCGGAAUAACAGUUGGAAACGACUGCUAAUACCGGAUGAUAUCGAAAGAUCAAAGAUUUAUCGCCCAGGGAUGAGCCCGCGUAGGAUUAGCUAGUUGGUGAGGUAAAGGCUCACCAAGGCGACGAUCCUUAGCUGGUCUGAGGGGAUGAUCAGCCACACUGGGACUGAGACACCGGCCAGACCUCCUACGGGAGGCAGCAGUAGGGAAUAGUUAGGACAAGUGGGACGCAAGCCUGACUCCAGCAAUCGACCGCGUGAGUGAUGAAGGCCGUUAGGUGAAGCUUACGUUUACCGAGUAA